AGCGAACGCUGGCGGCAGGCUUAACACAUGCAAGUCGAGCGGGCGUAGCAAUACGUCAGCGGCAGACGGGUGAGUAACGCGUGGGAACGUACCUUUUGGUUCGGAACAACACAGGGAAACUUGUGCUAAUACCGGAUAAGCCCUUACGGGAAAAGAUUUAUCGCCGAAAGAUCGGCCCGCGUCUGAUCAGCUAGUUGGUGAGGUAAUGGCUCACCAAGGCGACGAUCAGUAGCUGGUCUGAGAGGAUGAUCAGCCACAUUGGGACUGAGACACGGCCCAAACUCCUACGGGAGGCAGCAGUGGGAAUAUUGGACAAUGGGCGCAAGCCUGAUCCAGCCAUGCCGCGUGAGUGAUGAAGGCCCUAGGGUUGUAAAGCUCUUUUGUGCGGGAAGAUAAUGACGGUACCGCAAGAAU
RNAcentral lists this ribosomal RNA (414 nucleotides) under uncultured bacterium. RNAcentral's name for it is "bacterial SSU rRNA". It matches the Rfam family "Bacterial small subunit ribosomal RNA", at positions 29 to 487 of the family's 1533-position model. The record is from RNAcentral.